CUGGCGGCGCGCCUACACAUGCAAGUCGAACGAGAAAGUCCGCAAGGAUGAGUAAAGUGGCGUACGGGUGAGUAACACGUGGAUAACCUGCCCUUUAGUGGGGAAUACCGCUGGGAAACCGGCGACAAUACCGCAUAAGCUCGAGAGAGGAAAGCAGCAAUGCGCUGAAGGAGGGGUCCGCGGCCGAUUAGCUAGUUGGCAGGGUAAAAGCCUACCAAGGCUGUGAUCGGUAGCCGGCCUGAGAGGGCACACGGCCACACUGGCACUGAAACACGGGCCAGACUCCUACGGGAGGCAGCAGUGGGGAAUCUUGCACAAUGGGGGAAACCCUGAUGCAGCGACGCCGCGUGAGCGAUGAAGCCCUUCGGGGUGUAAAGCUCUUUCGGCAGGGACGAUUAUGACGGUACCUGCAGAAGCAGCUGCGGCUAACUACGUGCCAGCAGCCGCGGUAAUACGUANGCAGCAAGCGUUGUUCGGAGUUACUGGGCGUAAAGGGUGCGUANGCGGCUUCUUAAGUCUGGUGUGAAAUCUC
Molecule: ribosomal RNA, 532 nt
Filed under: uncultured bacterium
Lineage: Bacteria
Description: bacterial SSU rRNA
Rfam family: Bacterial small subunit ribosomal RNA
Source: RNAcentral